Acanthosepion pharaonis is the source of this 109-nucleotide non-coding RNA. NCBI's taxonomy places the organism in Eukaryota, Metazoa, Mollusca, Cephalopoda, Sepiida, Sepiidae. The record is from the annotation of a GenBank genome assembly.
GCCACAUUACGUUGAAACACCCUUUCCCAUACAAUCGUGGAAGUUAAGCAACGUCGAGCCUGAUCAAUACCAUGAUGGUGGAAGGCUUGGGAAUAUCAGCUGUUGUAAU